Molecule: long non-coding RNA, 308 nt
Filed under: Chinchilla lanigera (long-tailed chinchilla)
Lineage: Eukaryota; Metazoa; Chordata; Mammalia; Rodentia; Chinchillidae
Description: lncRNA (ENSCLAG00000026953.1)
Source: RNAcentral
AGACACAUUACUUUUCUUAGAGUAGAACACGUUAGAGUUUGAGUGAUGGCAGUUUAGAGGAAAUCAGAAUAUUAGAAGUUUACCCUCAAGGAACAAGUGUAAAGAAUAUCCUACAGAAAAGGUGACAAAUAUAUGCCAUUUCCAUGUUCUCGUCACACACUAGACAGUACUACAGGAGUCAUCUUUCCUGUAGAACCAGUCUCACAGCCCUGCAAGCUUCCUCAUCUGGGAGUCCUUAUCCAUUGACCAGAGUUGGCCUGAGAAAGAAAAUCUGCUUGUUAUCUGUCUUACAAGAGAAAAAACAGUGA